Hordeum vulgare subsp. vulgare (domesticated barley) is the source of this 187-nucleotide long non-coding RNA. RefSeq lists it as uncharacterized. Lineage: Eukaryota; Viridiplantae; Streptophyta; Magnoliopsida; Poales; Poaceae. The record is from RefSeq and is a predicted model, not a curated record. The transcript has 3 exons.
GCAUAGAUAUGGUCAUGGUGGUUGUAAUCAGAUAUUUUGGAGGCAUAAAACUUGGAACCGGCGGGCUGGUGAGAGCUUAUGGUGGGGUUGCUUCUGAGUGCCUUAAAGAUGCUCCUACUUGUCUUGUGAAACCCAAGGCUCGUGUGGGAAUGGAAGUACAAUUUGAUCUCUUGGGUACAGUCUAUAA